UUCUAUGGAGACUGGGAUAUGUAUAAAUUAUGAAUGUAAAUGUUUUACAAAGAGAUUUACAUUAAGUUUCCUUUUUUAUGACAGGAUUGCAGGCAAUACCAAGCCCGUAAGCACUACCAGUCAGGAUCUAGGAGCCAAUGGAAUGGUAUGCACAGAGCGAGGGACUCACUGAAGGACAGACAACAGAGGGCAGGAACGGCUUCAUCAGGAGAUGUAAAGAACACAGACUCUUCUCUGUGGAGAGCCGUGUGUGUGUGCCGUGAGCAAUCGCCAUUAUAAGAUGGCGUUGGCUUCCACUGCGUCUAACUAGUAAACAAGCCUUAUGCGCAAGUGCAAGAGUGAACUCACGCCUAGUCACUGCCCAUCUCGUGGCGUAGUAAUGGGGUGAUGGGCGAGCAACAAAUCAGGAGCUGUCACACCACAUCAGGUGCUGAAACGUCACACUGCGGGCUAUAUAAGCAGCGCCAUUUUCCCGGUUCGGGGUCUUCCCUCCUAAUAAGUAAGCAAUAAAAGCUUUGCCGCA
Molecule: long non-coding RNA, 523 nt
Filed under: Mus spicilegus (steppe mouse)
Lineage: Eukaryota; Metazoa; Chordata; Mammalia; Rodentia; Muridae
Description: lncRNA (ENSMSIG00000024961.1)
Source: RNAcentral